Molecule: long non-coding RNA, 986 nt
Filed under: Mytilus galloprovincialis (Mediterranean mussel)
Lineage: Eukaryota; Metazoa; Mollusca; Bivalvia; Mytilida; Mytilidae
Source: RNAcentral
CUGCAGGACAACAAUAGAGAAAUAUUUUAAGGAUUUAUAAUAUCUAGAACAUAGAAAUAACUAGUCUAAUGACUAGAUCUUUAGAUUUCAAGUAAAUUCGAGCAAUAUUUAUUAAUAUUUUCCUUUAUUAUUGUUUCACUAUCAAAUGCUAUAUCUAUCAUUUUCAAGAAAAUUAGAUUUGCCAUGAUCCCUUUGAAAUUAAGAGAACAUAUACAUUUAGUGUGAAAAAGUAAUCAAUAAUAUUUUCAAAGAGAACCAAAAAAGAGGAUUUCAAGUCUUAUCAAUCAAUUAUCUAUUAGAAAAGACAUGAUUUGGUGUAUAACAUUUUGAAACAAAAUUCAUACACUUGACAAAACUCACAUAUUUUCCAUCUCUCAUUUAUAGCAGGGAUUUCAACUUGGAGAAACAUAUCACCCCUCAUUGCAAGAAUGAGACAAUACCUAUGAUUGGUCCAUCUUUGCUGAUGUUGAUAAGGCUACAUGGGUGCAUUUAGGAACACAGCUGAAGAGUAUACAGCAUAUAACAGGAAAACAAAUCUAACAAAUACAGUCAUACUUUACACACCAAUAUCACUUUAAAAAAUAAAAUACAUGUUCAAAUUUUGUUUUCAAUGUGAUAAUUUGUAUAAAUAGAGGAAAUGAAGACCCUACAGUAUUAAUCUCCAUUGCAACUAAAGCACCAAUUAUAUCAUUCUUAAUAGGUAAACUUUUUAUAAUGAAAGAUCUCUCACUUAAUGAUUGUAAACCUCUACACUACUUAAAGCAUACCAUAAAGACAUUUGGGCUACAAUUAUCAAAUAACUAUUUUUGUAGAAGUUAACUAAGUUUGCUCAUUAGCAAAAGUCAAAUGGUGAACACUAGCUGUUAACCUUUAUGAUAUUUGGUCUCUGGUUGAGAGUUGUCACAUUGGCAAUCAUAAAAAAUGUUCUUAUUUUUAUAACAGAAUACGCACAGACAUAUAUAUUUAUAUGUUAGUAUCAGCUUUGA